RNAcentral lists this ribosomal RNA (324 nucleotides) under uncultured bacterium. RNAcentral describes it as "bacterial SSU rRNA". It matches the Rfam family "Bacterial small subunit ribosomal RNA", at positions 29 to 334 of the family's 1533-position model. The record is from RNAcentral.
AACGAACGCUGACGGUAUGCCUAAUACAUGCAAGUCGAACGAGAAAGCUCCUUCGGGGGUGAGUAAAGUGGCGCACGGGUGAGUAACACGUAGGUGACCUACCUCUUAGUUGGGGACAACAGAGAGAAAUUUCUGCUAAUACCGAAUAAGCUGAGUAAUUUUGGAAUUAACUCAGGAAAGAUGGCCUAACUCCUUGGAAGCCGUUGCUAAGAGAAGGGCCUGCGGGGCAUUAGCUUGAUGGUGGGGUAAUGGCCUACCAUGGCGAUGAUGUCUAGCCGGUCCUGAGAGGAUGAUCGGCCACACUGGAACUGAGACACGGCCCAG